RNAcentral lists this unclassified non-coding RNA (224 nucleotides) under Hevea brasiliensis (rubber tree). The record is from RNAcentral. Lineage: Eukaryota; Viridiplantae; Streptophyta; Magnoliopsida; Malpighiales; Euphorbiaceae.
GCCUUGUAACCAGCUUUAAGCUUCUCCUCCAACUGAGUGAAACUGUAAAUAAGUGCAGGAGAUCCUUUUGCAUUCGGAUUGCUAGAUUCACUGAAUCCUCGUUCAACUGCUAAUGAUAUUAUGGGAGCAGAUGAAAAGGCACGAAGAUAGGUUUGACUCCCGGCACGAAGAUCAAGAAAUAUGGGUCUUAAGGGAGCAAAGUUUUUAAUUCCUAGUUGUCUGCU